Cercocebus atys (sooty mangabey) is the source of this 67-nucleotide small nucleolar RNA. The record is from Ensembl. Lineage: Eukaryota; Metazoa; Chordata; Mammalia; Primates; Cercopithecidae.
UCUAUCUAUGGAAUCAUGUCAUUCAUGUCAUAGAUGAUGAAUAUAUGUCUGGAACUCUGAGGUCCAA